This 253-nucleotide ribosomal RNA is filed under the name uncultured bacterium. RNAcentral's name for it is "partial 16S ribosomal RNA". It matches the Rfam family "Bacterial small subunit ribosomal RNA", at positions 524 to 776 of the family's 1533-position model. The record is from RNAcentral.
UACGUAGGGUGCGAGCGUUAAUCGGAAUUACUGGGCGUAAAGGGUGCACAGGCGGUUUUGUAAGCCAGAUGUGAAAUCCCCGGGCUCAACCUGGGAAUGGCAUUUGGGACUGCAAGGCUAGAGUGUGGCAGAGGAGACUGGAAUUCCCGGUGUAGCAGUGAAAUGCGCAGAUAUCAGGAGGAACACCGAUGGCGAAGGCAGGUCUCUGGGCAUUAACUGACGCUGAGGAGCGAAAGCAUGGGGAGCGAACAGG